This 508-nucleotide ribosomal RNA is filed under the name uncultured bacterium. RNAcentral's name for it is "bacterial SSU rRNA". It matches the Rfam family "Bacterial small subunit ribosomal RNA", at positions 28 to 535 of the family's 1533-position model. The record is from RNAcentral.
GACGAACGCUGGCGGCGUGCCUAACACAUGCAAGUCGAGCGGGGUUGAAGCGAGGGGUAACUCGAGUUUCUACCUAGCGGCGGACGGGUGAGUAACGCGUGGGCAACCUGCCUCAAGGACUGGGAUAACAGCUCGAAAGGGCUGCUAAUACCGGAUAAGCCUAUGGCCUCGCAUGGGGCCAUGAGCAAAGGGGAAACCCGCCUUGAGAUGGGCCCGCGUCCCAUCAGCUAGUUGGUGAGGUGAAGGCUCACCAAGGCGACGACGGGUAGCCGGCCUGAGAGGGUGACCGGCCACACUGGGACUGAGACACGGCCCAGACUCCUACGGGGGGCAGCAGUGGGGAAUCUUGCACAAUGGGCGAAAGCCUGAUGCAGCGACGCCGCGUGAGCGAAGAAGGCCUUCGGUUGUAAAGCUCUGUCUGGAGGGACGGAAGGAAGGUGACGGUACCGUCCGGACGGAAGGCCACGGCUAACUACGUGCCAGCAGCCGCGGUAACUAGUCACGUCGC